GGUUGCCGAGUGACUCCGAACGCACUUCAGCUCGCUUGCUAAAUAUAAACAAACCUGUGAAAUUAUAGAAUAAACAAUAACCAGAUACUUAACACACAGCUUCAACAUGCUAUUUUAAUAAAAAGCUGCAUAGCAAAGAGACACCCAGCAAGGAAAUAACUUGUAGGCAUAAAAUAAAUUAUGAAAACCGACUUGCGUGAUAAUCAUAACAAAGCAAA
This 218-nucleotide long non-coding RNA is filed under the name Mytilus galloprovincialis (Mediterranean mussel). Lineage: Eukaryota; Metazoa; Mollusca; Bivalvia; Mytilida; Mytilidae. The record is from RNAcentral.